RNAcentral lists this long non-coding RNA (2567 nucleotides) under Homo sapiens (human). RNAcentral describes it as "HSALNT0210671". The record is from RNAcentral. Lineage: Eukaryota; Metazoa; Chordata; Mammalia; Primates; Hominidae.
GGUUAAAUCAUACUAGAGAUCACAUGAAGACAUUCUAAAAUCACACUAUAAAAAUUGCUGAUAUAGGAGGAAAGGCUUACAAGAAUGUCUUUCAAACCCUUUUAUCCAACAAGUUAUUCAUCUUUUACUUUUCUUUCUUCCAACCUUAUCCUCUAUGAUACUAUUUUACUUUCUAAAUGAAUACAGUUUUGCCAUUUCGAUAGGACAAACAAUUUGACCUCUAAAAGAAACUUUGAAAUCCAAAAGUCUAUAAAGAAUUAAGGCCUGAAUUUAAGACUUAAGGCCAAUUCUUUAGACACAAUUCUCUACUUCUAAAAAUGCUAAGGUUGUAAUUUGGAAAAAACAGCAGAAUAAAGACUGCUAUGGGACCUCAAAUUUUAAAAAUUGUUUAACUGUGGUAUUCUAAAUUAUCAUACAAUCAGAUUAAGUUGGUGGAACUAAAACAGGGCGCAUUACCUCAAACAGCCAGCAUUUACAAGAACCAAAUUGAUUUUUUUUUCUUACAAAAGUCAGGCAACUUCCAAAUUAAGUCACUUUUUACCAUAUACCCUGGAGAAUAACAUGGCCCGACACACCACACGUCCCACUUAUCUAGUUCAAGCGAGUAACAUAACGUGAGAAACUGCACUGUGUAAUUCCUUUAUUUUCUGCAUAUUAGUGCUUUACCAACACUACAACCAUAAAGAACACAAUUCCAAGUACUGUACUUUUUAGUUUGGGGAGAUCACAGUCUACAGACUCAUUUACUUAUAUUAAACAAGAUUAACCUCAUUCAAAACUUACUGCAGUUUAUAAAUUCACAUAAAUACAGAAAUGGAUGCAAUUAAACAACUUCAGGAUCUUAUUUUUAAAAUUCUUAGAUAAUUUUUUCUGCAGGCUAUAAUUACCUGCUCCAGUCACCAAUGGUUAUUGUUCAAUUUAACUACAUCAAUUAUAAACCUCUUAUAUCCUUAAAGAAAAUUUUAAGUGAAAAUUACAAUUUCUUACCAAAAGGUUUAGGGUUUUCCAAAUUUCAAAUAUUUGCUUCCCCCUCCCCCCUUUCCAGUCAAACAUUUCAAAUAAACUAAAAAUAACCACAUCUCACCUGCAACAUUCAAUAAUAGCAAUCACUUGAUGUAUAAAAUUUUAACUAUGCCCCCAGUUAUUUUAAGACACAAAAAAAUGGCUGCCUACCAAUCUGUCUUCACAAGUUAGAAAUACUACAUUUAAGAUUUAACAUGAGGGUUUCAAGUUUCCUCCAGUUUAGGCAUUUAUACCUUUGUGCUUGUUUUGUUUCAGGAUGUUACUAUAGCAUUGAUAUUGGAUAACCCAUAUUUAUAUACUUUAAAAUGCAAUCAUUUGAAACACUAAAAAUUACAUUUCUGAAAUUCCCUAUUUAAUUCCUUGAGGAUCACUAAAAUUAAUCCUUAAGGCUAUAUAGGAACCAGAUGCUGCUUUACAAUUCUGCAUCAAGCAUUAACAUUUGGUUCAAAAUAUUAUCAUAGUGGUCGCAAUCCAGUUACUGGUCCUAACCAGCUAACCAAGUAAUCUUGUUAGGAUCUGGAUAUCACCAGCGAGCACACUGCUUACACAUGAAGAAAAAUAAGUUUACAUUCAUUGUCAUCUGUAGGUUCUUUCUCUUCAUCCUACGUCCCCUUUAAUAGUCAUCCCUCAAGUCUACACAUCAUUCAUUCAUCACGCUUCCUUCCUUAAAGGAGACAGUGUACUAUUGAACCAACAGGAUAUCUUUUUUAUUAUUUGCAUGAGUUAAUCCUACAAACAAAAUUAAAUACCUCUUUUAUAAAACAUCUUUUCCAGUGUUCUAAUUGAUGGAGAUGCGGAUCACUCAUCUAUAAAAAAUGACUUACAGCUUCAGCUUAAUCAGUUGCUAUAAUGUGAAAACAGGAAUGUGUAUUUUUUUCAACUAGGUAAAAGGUGCAUAUAAUUUGAAUUGUUAAAUGUUUUAUUAAUGAACAAAGUAAACCUUUUAGUAAUUUUUAAAUUACUGGUCUUAGGUGUUUGAAACAAGGUAAAAGUAUACAUUCCAGUUUUGCCCAAAAGUCACUUAAAAUAUCUACAAAUUAUUUAAUCUGUGUGUGGUAACACCAUUAUUGCUCCAAUUUCUGGAAAGAGUCUAUUUUCAAAGUUUAAAAAAGAGGAAAAACAGCAAAGUGGCUAACUUUGCAGUGGAAAGAAAAAGUGUCCUUCAUGGGUUACACUUUCAUAUUUUUAUGCAGCAUUAAGUUAUCUACGUUAUGGGGAACUUGGGUUUUAUUCCUACUCAUGCAUGAUGUGUUUCAGAACUUACUUGCUGACAUUUCAGAGAACUUCUUACAUUACCUGUUUAACAUACUGAGGUGCAACUGGAACAUAUUACAAUAUUACUCAUUAUUUGCCACUGUGGGCUAAGUUUACUAUACUGGUCUUAGAUAUAAAAGGUCACAUUUGAAAUUACUAAGUUAGAACUCAUAAGGAAGGGGGGGGAAGGCCUUAAAUAUAAAAGACAAACGGCAGUUUGAUUAAGCAAUAAUUUUCAGUUUACUAGAUGAAACAGACUUGCAACAUAGUCUGCAUGAAUGCAAAAUAAG